CCUACGGGAGGCAGCAGUAGGGAAUUUUCGGCAAUGGGGGGAACCCUGACCGAGCAACGCCGCGUGAACGAAGAAGUUAUUCGUAAUGUAAAGUUCUUUUAACAGGGAAGAAAGAGAAAUUUGACGGUACCUGAAGAAUAAGCUCCGGGUAACUACGUGCCAGCAGCCGCGGUAAUACGUAGGGAGCAAGCGUUAUCGGGAAUUAUUGGGCGAAAAGGGUGCGUAGAUGGCAUAGUAAGUCUUUUGUAAAAAUGCUGGGCUAAACCCAGUAGGGCAAAAGAUACUGCAAAGCUAGAGUAUGAGAGAGGAAAGUGGAACUACAUGGGGAGCGGUAAAAUGCGUAAAUAUAUGUAAGAACACCAGUGGCGAAGGCGGCUUGCUGGGUCGAUACUGACAUUGAGGCACGAAAGCGUGGGGAGCAAACAGGAUUAGAUACACCAGUAGUC
RNAcentral lists this ribosomal RNA (446 nucleotides) under uncultured bacterium. Its description in RNAcentral is "partial 16S ribosomal RNA". It matches the Rfam family "Bacterial small subunit ribosomal RNA", at positions 338 to 795 of the family's 1533-position model. The record is from RNAcentral.